GGAGAGGUGGGUGAGAGGCUUAAACCACAAGUUUGCUAAAUUUGCGAUGGAGUAAUCCAUCCGAGGGUUCGAAUCCCUCCCUCUCCGCCA
RNAcentral lists this transfer RNA (90 nucleotides) under Candidatus Pelagibacter sp. RNAcentral's name for it is "tRNA-Ser". It matches the Rfam family "tRNA". From Rfam's summary of the family: Transfer RNA (tRNA) molecules are approximately 80 nucleotides in length. Their secondary structure includes four short double-helical elements and three loops (D, anti-codon, and T loops). Further hydrogen bonds mediate the characteristic L-shaped molecular structure. tRNAs have two regions of fundamental functional importance: the anti-codon, which is responsible for specific mRNA codon recognition, and the 3' end, to which the tRNAs corresponding amino acid is attached (by aminoacyl-tRNA synthetases). tRNAs cope with the degeneracy of the genetic code in two manners: having more than one tRNA (with a specific anti-codon) for a particular amino acid; and 'wobble' base-pairing, i.e. permitting non-standard base-pairing at the 3rd anti-codon position. Lineage: Bacteria; Pseudomonadati; Pseudomonadota; Alphaproteobacteria; Candidatus Pelagibacterales; Candidatus Pelagibacteraceae. RNAcentral also lists the same sequence under 1 other name. The record is from RNAcentral.